UCCCUGAUAAAUGAAACAAAAUACUAUUGAGUGACAUUUAAGUUUUUAGAUUUUUGGGGGGAAAAUUCUAAGUUUUCUCUUGAGCAAAAGAAUAUACUAAAUAAGAACACUCAAUAUUUGGGAGGCAACUAUGAACAAAUGGAUGCCAACAAACUGGACAGGCUGGAAAAAAAUGGCUCUCUGCUAGUGACUUCUUGCUCAUCACGAUGUGCGCGCUCAAUUCUGUCCGUGGAGAACAACUUAGAGUAAAACAGCGUUCGCACUCGGGCUUCUCAGAAGUCAGAGGACACACUGGCUGCCACUGUUCUGUUCUCACCUUGGGUGGAAGUAGCUGUCCAGACCCCACCUGGAGAAGGGGUACCGUCCACCUGG
Long non-coding RNA from Panthera uncia (snow leopard), 372 nucleotides. RefSeq lists it as uncharacterized. The transcript has 3 exons. The record is from RefSeq and is a predicted model, not a curated record. NCBI's taxonomy places the organism in Eukaryota, Metazoa, Chordata, Mammalia, Carnivora, Felidae.